This 1469-nucleotide long non-coding RNA is filed under the name Sus scrofa (pig). RNAcentral's name for it is "lncRNA (ENSSSCG00070013226.1)". Lineage: Eukaryota; Metazoa; Chordata; Mammalia; Artiodactyla; Suidae. The record is from RNAcentral.
CGACGCGGUCCGGGAGCGCACCCGCCGGUGACUUCUGCAUCUUGGUCUCCAGUCCCAGCCGCGAGGGAAGUUCCUGGGGCCGGCCGGGCGUAAGUGCUUUGUAAAAGAUCCCUAAUGUCAGCUUCAUCUUAAAGAGACUAAGACGUCUUCACCAACCUCCUCCCCUUCAGCCGUAUCCAUAACUCUGAUCACAUUUCUACAGUGUCAUCCUUCUCUCCUGAGCCCGGGUUAAAAAGGCAGCAGGUGUCAGAAGUAGUUACGGCUGAAGCUUAUCAUGCAAGUGGGUAUCUCAGGCUUGCUCUACUGGACUGACAGCAGAGAUGCCUCACCCGCUGCUUGGUGCACAGAUGCCAGCCUGUGGUUAUUGGAACCUGUCUGCCAGACCAAAGGGAGGAAAUCUGCCAGACAAGAUGUGGAACCUAAAAGCGGAACGUCACUAACUGCUGUGGGCAUCUCUGCCACUUCAUGACCCGUGGACUUUUGGGGAAGUAUUUUUGUGGCUCACCAGUCUCUCAUUAGGCAAGGGCCAGUUCUCCUGGGCUGGCCUUCUCUACUGGUGGAAAGUACAGCUGGGAGAUUUGGAAUGGUUGCUGUUUGACUCUGAUUCUUGGCCAUGAGCUUUUUUGGUAAGAUCCUGAGCUGAAAUUUGCUGUUGAGGAUUGCAGGAUUCCUUCUAAUCUUUGGGAAUGUUUUGAAUCAUAACUGGCAGUGGCUUUCCGAAGGCAACUUGAGCAAGCUCAGGGAAGAAGCCAUCACCCUCUCUCACAUGAAUGUGCCUUUGGGUAAAUCACCCUGAACCCCAGACCCAGAAAUGCCAUCUGCCUUUUUCCUGAGCCCUGAUUUAGAGUGUAAACCUUUUUCUUCUUUUUUACAUGAGUAGAUGUAUUGUUUUCUGCUUCCUCCUUCUCUUAAAGGGAUUUUUAAAGUCUCCUGUAAUUAAAAAACUUUUUAUUAUUGAAUAUUUUUUUAUUUUGAGAUAAUCAUAGAUUCAUGUGCCUUUGUACAAAAUGCUGCAGAAACAUCCCAUGUACCCUUGGUCCAGCACCAGGGAUGAACUUGGGUGUUUUCUGUCAACAUGAGACCAUGUGUUAGGUUUACCCAUGGUUUCAGGCUUUAUCACUCAGGAGGUACAUCAACAUUUAUUUUGAUAUCAAGUCUUGAUUUGUUUCAUAUUUCUUUAUUUUUCCAUUGGCAAAUUCUUUUUUGUUAAAUUAUAGUUGAUUUAUAAUGUGUUAGUUUCAGGUAUACAGCAAAGAGAUUCAGUGUGUAUAUGUAUGUGUUUCUCUCUCUAUAGUCUUUUUCAGAUUCUUUUCAUUAUAUGUUAUUAUAUGAUAUUGAUUAUAGCUCCUUGUGCUAUACAGUAGGACCCUGUUGUUUAUCUAUUUUUAAAAUAGUGGUGGGUAUCUGUUAAUCCCAAGCUCCAGAUUUAUCCCUUACCCCCUCCCGUUUAGUAACCAUAAGUUUGUUUU